CUCAGUGGUUUGAUUAACCAAUAUGAGGAUUUAGCCAACACUUAUAGAAAAAAUUAAAGUUGCCUAGGAUAGUGAUCCACAAUUAAUGAUAAUUAAAGAGUCAGUAGAUGCAGGUGUUCAAUCUGAAUUCAGCAUAUAUGAUGAUGGUUCUUUGAGGUUUCAAAAUAGAAUUUGCAUCCUCAAGGAUUCAGUACUCAAACAAGAAAUACUUGAGGAAGC
Molecule: long non-coding RNA, 219 nt
Filed under: Elaeis guineensis (African oil palm)
Lineage: Eukaryota; Viridiplantae; Streptophyta; Magnoliopsida; Arecales; Arecaceae
Description: long non-coding RNA (EGUI_LNC031188)
Source: RNAcentral